CCUACGGGAGGCAGCAGCAGGGAAUCUUGCGCAAUGGGCGAAAGCCUGACGCAGCGACACCGCGUGGGGGAUGAAGGCCUUCGGGUUGUAAACCCCUUUCAGGAGGGAUGAAAUUGACAGUACCUCCACAAGAAGGACCGGCCAACUACGUGCCAGCAGCCGCGGUAAUACGUAGGGUCCGAGCGUUAUCCGGAAUCAUUGGGCGUAAAGAGCUCGUAGGCGGUUCAGCAAGUCGGCUGUGAAAGUUCGAGGCUCAACCUCGAAAUUGCAGUCGAUACUGCUGUGACUCGAGUCCGGUAGAGGAGAAUGGAAUUCCCGGUGUAGCGGUGAAAUGCGCAGAUAUCGGGAGGAACACCAGUAGCGAAGGCGGUUCUCUGGGCCGGCACUGACGCUGAGGAGCGAAAGCGUGGGGAGCAAACAGGAUUAGAUACCCUGGUAGUCCACGCCGUAAACGUUGGAUACUAGGUGUGGCGUCCCGAUUAACGGUCGCCGUGCCGAAGCUAACGCAUUAAGUAUCCCGCCUGGGGAGUACGGCCGCAAGGCUAAAACUCAAAGGAAUUGACGG
RNAcentral lists this ribosomal RNA (565 nucleotides) under uncultured Actinomycetes bacterium. Its description in RNAcentral is "bacterial SSU rRNA". It matches the Rfam family "Bacterial small subunit ribosomal RNA", at positions 338 to 916 of the family's 1533-position model. Lineage: Bacteria; Bacillati; Actinomycetota; Actinomycetes. The record is from RNAcentral.